This 321-nucleotide non-coding RNA is filed under the name Clostridium kluyveri. RNAcentral's name for it is "T-box sequence". It matches the Rfam family "T-box leader". Rfam says of the family: Uncharged tRNA acts as the effector for transcription antitermination of genes in the T-box leader family. T-boxes are found upstream of many aminoacyl-tRNA synthetase genes and some amino acid biosynthetic genes usually in Gram-positive bacteria. The anticodon of a specific tRNA base pairs to a specifier sequence within the T-box motif, and the NCCA acceptor tail of the tRNA base pairs to a conserved bulge in the T-box antiterminator hairpin. The record is from RNAcentral. Lineage: Bacteria; Bacillati; Bacillota; Clostridia; Eubacteriales; Clostridiaceae.
UUAAAUCCUAUGAGCAGGAGUAGUAAGUAUUAUAAUUUAGGCUAAGAGAGUCUGAGAUGGUGGGAUUCAGAUGCUAAUGUUAAUGCCGAAUGGAUCUGUAAGGUGUGAUGUGAAUUAAUAGUAGCAGUAUCCGGUAGUCUACCGUUAAAAAGACAGGGUAUCGAGAAUAUUUCUCCGUACCUGAAAGAGAGAGUUUUAUUUGGGUGGCUAAGAAAUUGGGCAUUUCUUCCUAAAAGGGAGAAAUGCUUUUUAUUUUUGACUGUACCAUCUAAUAUAAGAUUAAUAUGGGUGGUACCGCGGAAAAUACACUUCGUCCCUUUU